GAUGAACGCUGGCGGCGUGCCUAAUACAUGCAAGUCGAGCGAACAGACGAGGAGCUUGCUCCUCUGACGUUAGCGGCGGACGGGUGAGUAACACGUGGAUAACCUACCUAUAAGACUGGGAUAACUUCGGGAAACCGGAGCUAAUACCGGAUAAUAUAUUGAACCGCAUGGUUCAAUAGUGAAAGACGGUUUUGCCGUCACUUAUAGAUGGAUCCGCGCCGCAUUAGCUAGUUGGUAAGGUAACGGCUUACCAAGGCAACGAUGCGUAGCCGACCUGAGAGGGUGAUCGGCCACACUGGAACUGAGACACGGUCCAGACUCCUACGGGAGGCAGCAGUAGGGAAUCUUCCGCAAUGGGCGAAAGCCUGACGGAGCAACGCCGCGUGAGUGAUGAAGGUCUUCGGAUCGUAAAACUCUGUUAGUAGGGAAGAACAAAUGUGUAAGUAACUAUGCACGUCUUGACGGUACCUAAUCAGAAAGCCACGGCUAACUACGUG
This 497-nucleotide ribosomal RNA is filed under the name uncultured bacterium. Its description in RNAcentral is "partial 16S ribosomal RNA". It matches the Rfam family "Bacterial small subunit ribosomal RNA", at positions 28 to 507 of the family's 1533-position model. The record is from RNAcentral.